This 253-nucleotide ribosomal RNA is filed under the name uncultured bacterium. RNAcentral describes it as "partial 16S ribosomal RNA". It matches the Rfam family "Bacterial small subunit ribosomal RNA", at positions 524 to 776 of the family's 1533-position model. The record is from RNAcentral.
UACAGAGGUGGCAAGCGUUGUUCGGAAUUACUGGGCGUAAAGGGCGCGUAGGCGGCCUUGUAAGUCCCAUGUGAAAUCCCUCGGCUCAACUGAGGAACUGCACGGGAAACUGCUUGGCUUGAGUUCGGGAGAGGGAAGCGGAAUUCCGGGUGUAGCGGUGAAAUGCGUAGAUAUCCGGAGGAACACCGGUGGCGAAGGCGGCUUCCUGGACCGACACUGACGCUGAGGCGCGAAAGCUAGGGGAGCAAACGGG